UACGUAGGGGGCAAGCGUUGUCCGGAAUCAUUGGGCGUAAAGCGCGUGUAGGCGGUUCGGUAAGUCUGCUGUGAAAGUCCAGGGCUCAAACCUGGGAUGCCGGUGGAUACUGUCGGACUAGAGUACGGAAGAGGCGAGUGGAAUUCCCGGUGUAGCGGUGAAAUGCGCAGAUAUCGGGAGGAACACCAAUUGCGAAGGCAGCUCGCUGGGACGUUACUGACGCUGAGACGCGAAAGCGUGGGGAGCAAACAGG
Molecule: ribosomal RNA, 253 nt
Filed under: uncultured bacterium
Lineage: Bacteria
Description: partial 16S ribosomal RNA
Rfam family: Bacterial small subunit ribosomal RNA
Source: RNAcentral